AGCGUACGUUGAAAAUUAUGGCGACGAUGUGGAGGAGACGGAGACUGCGGCUGAAAGUGAACGUAGGUGAUUAGGGUGAUAAUUGCUUUGAUUUUUUAUUUUGUUUCCCUUUCUAAAUAAAUAUCUUUGUGUUUCCGAAGGUGGCGAAGCGGUAGAGGAUAUCGAGGGGGGGGGGAGGGGCAGAGCGGCGAAGAGGCGCAUGGCCUUGAUGAUUUUAAAGAAUUUCUGGUCGGGAGGUUUUUUGCGACAGACCGAUUCCCAAGCGAGAGACAUAAUCUGAAAUCUGGGAAUCUUAGGAAUGUUUGAGAGAAUGAAAUGGUAGGAGAUAGAAAGAAAGAAGUUCAAUACAUACAGGUUGCAUACGGUUUUGAUCUAAACGAAAUAUCUAUUUUGUGUUUUGUGUAUGUACAUUUUUUCGUGUACACAAAUACAUUGGGUGAGCACGAUGAUGUAUACACAAAUGUUAGUGUACACAUGUACAUGUUAAAGAGAUAUGAAAGUCAUAUUCUACUGCCAUUUGAGAAUCAACUUCAUUAAGCUUUGUAUAAUGAUAUGAAAGUCAUAUUCUACUGCCAUUGUGUACAUCUAUGUCGUGUACAAAUUGGUUUUGUACAUCCCAUGUUGUGUACACGUGUAACCGAUUGUAGCUCGCAGUGGUGGCUCUCCAUUUUUUUUAUGAAAACCUAUCGUGUUGACCAAUUGCACUGUGUUUUUUAUGUAAGGAUUCUAGGUGUUUGAGUUGUUUAGAACAAAACGUUAUGAGGUGUUUGUUUUUUUGUGACAUUGACAUCUUUUUUUGUUUAUAA
RNAcentral lists this long non-coding RNA (806 nucleotides) under Brassica napus (rape). Its description in RNAcentral is "long non-coding RNA (BNAP_LNC001530)". Lineage: Eukaryota; Viridiplantae; Streptophyta; Magnoliopsida; Brassicales; Brassicaceae. The record is from RNAcentral.